RNAcentral lists this ribosomal RNA (476 nucleotides) under uncultured bacterium. RNAcentral's name for it is "bacterial SSU rRNA". It matches the Rfam family "Bacterial small subunit ribosomal RNA", at positions 335 to 801 of the family's 1533-position model. The record is from RNAcentral.
ACUCCUACGGGAGGCAGCAGUAGGGAAUCUUCCACAAUGGGCGCAAGCCUGAUGGAGCAACACCGCGUGAGUGAAGAAGGGUUUCGGCUCGUAAAGCUCUGUUGUUAAAGAAGAACACGUAUGAGAGUAACUGUUCAUACGUUGACGGUAUUUAACCAGAAAGUCACGGCUAACUACGUGCCAGCAGCCGCGGUAAUACGUAGGUGGCAAGCGUUAUCCGGAUUUAUUGGGCGUAAAGAGAGUGCAGGCGGUUUUCUAAGUCUGAUGUGAAAGCCUUCGGCUUAACCGGAGAAGUGCAUCGGAAACUGGAUAACUUGAGUGCAGAAGAGGUAGUGGAACUCCAUGUGUAGCGGUGGAAUGCGUAGAUAUAUGGAAGAACACCGAGUGGCGAAGGCGGCUACCUGGUCUGCAACUGACGCUGAGACUCGAAAGCAUGGGUAGCGAACAGGAUUACGAUACCCCGUGGUAGGAUAGCG